Molecule: long non-coding RNA, 3122 nt
Filed under: Homo sapiens (human)
Lineage: Eukaryota; Metazoa; Chordata; Mammalia; Primates; Hominidae
Description: HSALNT0391236
Source: RNAcentral
UGGGAUCACAGGUGUGAGCCACUACACCUGGCCAACAGAUGCUCAAUAAAUAUUUGUUGAAUGAAUUAAUGUGCUCCUUAUCUCACACCUAGUGGAUGAUAGCUUCAGGAGAACGACUUUCUGUAUUUUUCUGGAAAGACAGCUAAUGGGAACCAUAAGCUUACUCAAGCCCAGUAUAGGAGAAGUUGAUUUGCAUGCUCUCUGGAUAGGAUAUGUUUGCUAUAAUGUUAAAAUUUCCAGAAAUCCUGCCUCCCAUUCUUCCUUCUUUCCAACUUUGUCACAUCUUAAAUUUCCUGGGGCUUUCCUGAGUUAGGAUGAACCGAAAUGAUAAUGAGAAAUAACUUCUGUCCUUUCUGCUGAAAUAACUAGUCUCCCUUUGGCAUCUGGCCACACAUUCUCCUCCAAAAGUAGUGAUGCCAAGUCCUCUCAAGUAUAGCUAUUUAAAUUGCAUGCCACAGAAUUUAUAUUUUGCUAAAUUCACUGGUUACUAAGCUAUUAUGAGAAAUGGCACUCUUUCUGUUUUGAGAGCUCAUACUGAGGUCUCCUGGGGAGGAAUUUGGUGAUAAUCCAUUAAGUAUUUUCUAAUUAUUUGAACCCCUGUACAUUUCCUGGAGCUGUUCAUUCCAGAGCAAUUCUAGGAGGCACUGUGUCAGAUGGAGAGGUAUGAUGGGGUCCGCCCAGUCCCAUCACCUGGGUUAGGAUGGUUGACCUGCAGAGGUUCAUGAAGCUCUGGUCAUCAGUGCCUGGGAUCCCAAAUAGUGAGAGGAAAAUGAGAAAGGGGCUGUCAGCACUCAGGAAAAAUCUCUUCGUUGGAAACUGAAUUUACUGCUCAUUGUGCUAUACCAUCAGAAGAGAAAUGGAACAGCAAUGAAAGAGCUGGAGCCAUGUGCUUUCUUCCCAGUUAAACUCUAAGUUUCCUGAGGGCAAGGAUCUACCCUGGAUUUCUUUUGCAUCCUCCUCAGUAUUUGAAGGAGCACUCAGGAGUGCUAUGCACACAGUAAAUAUUCUAUAAAUAACCGAUUAUUAGAUGCUUGAACACGUUUCCUGCUGCCAAAGCUCCAUCAUACUCCAAAACACUAGUAUCAAAACUUGAGGAAGAAAAUCCCUUGGACACAGGAAUUGCACUUGAAUUCUAUCCAUGGAGUUCAUAAGGUUGGUCUCACUCAUUUAAUACAUUUCCAAGAGCACUCUGUCACACAGACAAUUAGAAAAGCAUUAUAGUGAACUUCUAUAGCACUCGGCUUUUAAAUUAAAUCUUGCAUCUGUUUGAUCCAUAUGUCUCUUUCAGUGUUCUUAUCCUUGACGUGGGUCCUAGAAAGAACAUUUUCUCAAGGUUGUUUUUCUUUUUUUUCCCCAUGGCUGUGAUGAAUUUGGAAGAAUCCUCCUUCAUACUGUUCUAUUUCUCCUGUGACACGGAAGGAUUCAGGUUUUGUGAGACCUGAAGCUAAUACAAUUUGGAGGACCAUCUUUAAGCAAAAGAGUACAAAAUUACGAAUACAAAACCAGGUCAGUAGGGAUUCUGCUCCACACACUGACUCAGGGACCCAGCUUGAUGAACACACCAAGAUCCCAACAAAUGGUCUUCACAGUCAUCAGGGCAAGAAAAGAGAGGAACUGGAAGAUGAAGUGCUGGCUCUUCAAUGCUUUGGGAAGCGACGCAGAUCACAUCAACUGAUAACCCAUUGUCCAGGACUAGUCACAUGACCCCAACUAACUGCUGGGGGCUGGAACACACGGGAGAACAAGUGGACUUUGGUGAGCAGAAAAUGCCUCUGCCACAGCCUCUUGGUACUUAUUGAACAUAGGAUGUGUCUUUUGAUUUAAUACUAUUAAUAGUUUGCAUUUGCAUAAAUCUCAUUAUAAAGGCAUUUUAGGUUAUUUCCAUUUAUUGUCUUAUUCUCCUCUCCUCAAGCUCUUAAAGAAACUAAGGUCCACAAAGUGGAAGUAACAACAUAAUAAGUGGAAAGGAGGAAUAAAAGCCAGGGUUGUGACCUGAGCUUUUUCUGCUCUUCCACAGUGGCUGCAGAGAAACGAAUGCUUUGUCAAGAAUUUAAUUUGAAUUUCCUUGGAGCCUUCUUAAAGAUCAUGGUGGUGGUGGGUGGGGGGAGACACAGAACCUGAUUAACUGUUUGCUGUUGAGAAAGCAAUGACUGUACCAAGAUUUUACUGAGAUUUUUGCGAAAUGGGCUGGUUUCCCGAAAUGGGCUGGUUUCCCGACAAAAACUCAUUCCUUUCUCGUUAAAAUACAAUUGCUUCCUCUUCUGGGAGCUGGUUUUAUGCUAUGUUGCAAUGCACCUCUUGUUUCCACUCCAGCUAACUGUGUCCUUAACCUUAUCCUGACCUCAUAGAACCACAGCCCUGGCUCAGCACUUAAGUAAAACCCGCCCAGAGAGGGGCAUGGGGCUUCUGAGCUGGAGUGGCCCCGAACUGGAAGGGACUUGAAUGAGAAGGGGCAUAUCAUGGAUUGUCCCAGGGUGGAAACCACCUGGACUUCUGCCUUGGUGAGCAAAAAUCAGACUCAAGAGGAACCAGUGUCCCAAAAUGGGCCUACAGUGUGAAUGAGGAAAAUAGCUAACUACCUCUUAUGUGGCACUCACAUGGGGCCAGGCAGUUUUAAGCACUUUGCUCUUUUAACUCAUUUCACCCCCACAGAAACUCCUCAUAAGGUCAGUAUUAUUAUUAUUACCACCAUUGUAAACAUAUGGGAACCAGAUAUAGGCAGCAAAAAUGACACCUCCAAGGUGGCACUGCUAGUACAAGGCAGCGUUGCGAUGACACCCGAGUAUGACAUCUGAAUAUGUGUAAGAUACUCCACCAAUAAUGAUUUUUCCCCCUGAUUAGGAAGACCAAAAAACUUUUGUAUAAAAAUAAAAAACUAUGGUGCAUAAGGAGGGAUGAGUUGGAUAACUUUUAAAACGUCUGAUGCUUAUUGCCAACUUGCCCUCCAGAAAGAGAAAGCAACCUAUACUUCCAGAGCAGGGUACUGGGAGUAAUUCUGCCUCGAUAAUCUCUGGGCCCUGAUGCAAAGGGGUGUACUGUGACAGCAUGGCUCACUAAGCCUCCUGGACACAAAUCUCUUCUCAAAUUGGUUUCCAGGACUCAGGCUCAGACAUGAAAUAAAG